Molecule: long non-coding RNA, 999 nt
Organism: Maniola jurtina (meadow brown)
Lineage: Eukaryota; Metazoa; Arthropoda; Insecta; Lepidoptera; Nymphalidae
Exons: 2
Source: RefSeq, a predicted model, not a curated record
CAUGGGUUUAUUCAACGGGCGGACCAACAAAUUCCUGAAAGGCCGGCAAUGCGUUGGCGGUUCCUUUGGUACUUCAAAUGUUGGGCGGCAGUAAUCACUUAACAUCAGGUGAUCCGCCUGCUCGUUUGCUCGCUAUUUUUAUUUAAAAAAAAAAUGGUGCCAACAUGACGGCAGAGGACAAGUUAUAGUGAACAGUCUGUAACGUAACUGAUAGGACCUUGACUGAUUUUCGCAUAGCGUGGAAUACGAUUGUAAAGAGAGAUAAAAAAAACUAUUUUGUUAGUGAGUUUGUAUUGUUUGCGGUAACUCCAAAACAUGUAUUGGGGACAGUUAUGGUGUGAGACAUUUAUUGUUAAAGGAAAAUAUUUUUUAAAUUAAUUCUGGGUCAAGUCUACAAGUGUAUUAUGGCAGCGAACGACAAAGCAUAGAAAUAUUCUGUAUGCUCCUCCGUACCAAAUCUCUAUCGUGAUGGUGUGCCAAUAUUUUAUAUAGGUAUUCUCGCGUCUUCAAUUUGAUUGUAGUUCCAUAAUUUGAUCUUUAAAUCGGCCAAUCACGGCAGCAGUCGAUGUGACAUGACACAGUACAAACCAAUCAUGAUCCUCUUGCGAUGUAAAUAGACGAGAGUUUGUGGCUCCUAUUUUCGAGUCUAUGUUAGAAUCGCGUCUUCUAUAUUUUGUCGUUCACUGACUCUAUGAAUUUACCUAAUGUAAAAAAUAAAAGUAUGGCUAAUCUAUGUAAAGCCAGACGAGAAAAAAAAAGUUGUAAACCUCAACGUAUACAGGCGGAGUGGAGUUGAGCCGAGACUUUUUUAUUUGUAAAUCAUAUUUUGUUAACCAUGAGAUAAAGUUUAUAUUCUUGUGAAAUGCCAUAUUUUUAUAGAGAUAAUAAUUAUUAAUUAUAAUUAAUUUAUCAUUGUUUAUUGACUAUUAUUAAUAUUUACCUGUGAUUCUUAAUUAUUUUGUGCUUAGAUAAAUGAAAGACAAGUUUAUGAAAAGAGAA